CCUACGGGAGACAGCAGUGGGGAAUAUUGGGCAAUGGAGGCAACUCUGACCCAGCAACGCCGCGUGAAUGAUGAAGGUCUUCGGACUGUAAAGUUCUGUGAUGGGGGAUGAACACAAUGACGGUACCCCAAUAGCAAGCCACGGCUAACUACGUGCCAGCAGUCGCGGGAAUACGUAGGUGGCAAGCGUUAUCCGGAAUGACUGGGCGUAAAGGGUGCGUAGGUGGUUUAGUAAGUUGGCGGUGUAAUUCCGGGGCUCAACCUCGGCGCUACCGCCAAAACUAUUAGACUAGAGUGCAGGAGGGGUAAGUGGAAUUCCUAGUGUAGCGGUGGAAUGCGUAGAUAUUAGGAGGAACAUCAGGGGCGAAGGCGACUUACUGGACUGUAACUGACACUGAGGCACGAAAGCGUGGGGAGCAAACAGGAUUAGAUACCCUUGUAGUC
RNAcentral lists this ribosomal RNA (443 nucleotides) under uncultured bacterium. Its description in RNAcentral is "partial 16S ribosomal RNA". It matches the Rfam family "Bacterial small subunit ribosomal RNA", at positions 338 to 795 of the family's 1533-position model. The record is from RNAcentral.